Molecule: non-coding RNA, 74 nt
Organism: Pteropus alecto (black flying fox)
Lineage: Eukaryota; Metazoa; Chordata; Mammalia; Chiroptera; Pteropodidae
Source: Rfam
GGCUUUAUAGUGUAGUGGUUAGCACAUCUUCUUUACACACAGAAGGUCCUGGGUUCGCACCCCAGGUAGAGCCA